AAAGUCGUAACAAGGUUUCCGUAGGUGAACCUGCGGAAGGAUCAUUAUGAAUUGUUUGAGUUGUGCUUGAAAGAGCACAACUUUUCUUUUCUGUGAACUGACUUUGAUUUUAUCUUUGAAUUGGUUUUUUUUCUUUCUUCCACCUUUAUUGGUGGAGAAAUCAAGCCUUUUAAAAGUUUAAUGACAAGUGCUUUUUUGUUUUCUUUUUUAUUAUUUCUUUUUUAAUUUACUCUGCGGCAUCACAUCUUCUUCCUUUAUUGGUUGAGAGCGAUAAAACAGUGUGAAAUGAAAAAAACCAAGACAACUUUCAGCAAUGGAUCUCUUGGCUCUU
RNAcentral lists this unclassified non-coding RNA (331 nucleotides) under Chytridiomycota sp. RNAcentral's name for it is "partial contains small subunit ribosomal RNA, internal transcribed spacer 1, and 5.8S ribosomal RNA". The stretch from base 1 to 47 matches the Rfam family "Eukaryotic small subunit ribosomal RNA", at positions 1785 to 1831 of the family's 1831-position model. Lineage: Eukaryota; Fungi; Chytridiomycota. The record is from RNAcentral.